GGAAGUAAAAGUCGUAACAAGGUCUCCGUAGGUGAACUGCGGAGGGAUCAUUACACACAUAUGAAGGCGGGCUGGAACCUCUCGGGGUUACAGCCUUGCUGAAUUAUUCACCCAUGUCUUUUGCGUACUUCUUGUUUCCUUGGUGGGUUCGCCCACCACUAGGACAAACAUAAACCUUUUGUAAUUGCAAUCAGCGUCAGUAACAAAUUAAUAAUUACAACUUUCAACAACGGAUCUCUUGGUUCUGGCAUCGAUGAAGAACGCAGCGAAAUGCGAUAAGUAGUGUGAAUUGCAGAAUUCAGUGAAUCAUCGAAUCUUUGAACGCACAUUGCGCCCUUUGGUAUUCCAAAGGGCAUGCCUGUUCGAGCGUCAUUUGUACCCUCAAGCUUUGCUUGGUGUUGGGCGUCUUGUCUCUAGCUUUGCUGGAGACUCGCCUUAAAGUAAUUGGCAGCCGGCCUACUGGUUUCGGAGCGCAGCACAAGUCGCACUCUCUAUCAGCAAAGGUCUAGCAUCCAUUAAGCCUUUUUUUCAACUUUUGACCUCGGAUCAGGUAGGGAUACCCGCUGAACUUAAGCAUAUCAAUAAGCGGAGGA
Molecule: ribosomal RNA, 593 nt
Filed under: uncultured Alternaria
Lineage: Eukaryota; Fungi; Ascomycota; Dothideomycetes; Pleosporales; Pleosporaceae
Description: eukaryotic LSU rRNA
Rfam family: 5.8S ribosomal RNA (bases 219-372)
Source: RNAcentral